Molecule: ribosomal RNA, 493 nt
Filed under: uncultured bacterium
Lineage: Bacteria
Description: partial 16S ribosomal RNA
Rfam family: Bacterial small subunit ribosomal RNA
Source: RNAcentral
ACGAACGCUGGCGGCGUGCUUAACACAUGCAAGUCGAACGGAAAGGCCUGCUUUCCCUUGUGGAUUGCGGGUACUCGAGUGGCGAACGGGUGAGUAAAACGUGAGUGAUCUGCCCCCAACUUGGGUAUAAGCCUGGGAAACUGGGUCUAAUUCCCGAUAGGACUGCAGGGUGGUGCCUGUGGUGGAAAACGAUUUUCUAGUGGUUGGGGAUGAGCUCGCGGCCUAUCAGCUUGUUGGUGGGGUAAUGGCCUACCAAGGCGGCGACGGGUAGCCGGCCUGAGAGGGUGGACGGCCACAUUGGGACUGAGAUACGGCCCAGACUCCUACGGGAGGCAGCAGUGGGGAAUAUUGCACAAUGGGCGGAAGCCUGAUGCAGCGACGCCGCGUGGGGGAUGACGGCCUUCGGGUUGUAAACUCCUUUCGACCGCGAGGAAGCCACCUGGUUGGAAGGGUGGUGACGGUAGUGGUAGAAGAAGCACCGGCUAACUACGUG